This 406-nucleotide ribosomal RNA is filed under the name uncultured bacterium. RNAcentral's name for it is "partial 16S ribosomal RNA". It matches the Rfam family "Bacterial small subunit ribosomal RNA", at positions 30 to 526 of the family's 1533-position model. The record is from RNAcentral.
AUUGAACGCUGGCGGCAGGCCUAACACAUGCAAGUCGAACGAGUGGCGGAAGGGUGAGUAAUGUCUGGGAAACUGCCUGAUGGAGGGGGAUAACUACUGGAAACGGUAGCUAAUACCGCAUACCAUCAGAUGUUCCCAGAUGGGAUUAGCUUGUUGGUGGGGUAACGGCUCACCAAGGCGACGAUCCCUAGCUGUCCUGAGAGGAUGACCAGACACACAGGAACUGAGACCCGGCCCAGACGCCUACGCGAGGCAGCAGUGGGGAAUAUUGCAAACUGGGCGCAAGCCUGAUGCAGCCAUGCCGAGUGUAUGAAGAAGGCUUUCGGGUUGUAAAGUACUUUCAGCAGGGAGGCGUUACCCGCAGAAGAAGCACCGGCUAACUCCGUGCCAGCCGCCGCGGUAAUAC